This 408-nucleotide long non-coding RNA is filed under the name Danio rerio (zebrafish). Its description in RNAcentral is "si:ch211-116o3.7 (ENSDARG00000098034.3)". Lineage: Eukaryota; Metazoa; Chordata; Actinopteri; Cypriniformes; Danionidae. The record is from RNAcentral.
ACGCACUAACUUGCACAGCAUUGAAUGGAAAAGGCUUUGUCCAUGUCCAGUUGAGGGCAUCAAGAACACGCAGAUGGCCUAAACCUGUGUCAGCCUGGACAGACUGCCGUUCUGCUACUCCACACCAAGGCUUUUGUAUAGAUGUCUUGACUGCUACUGUGUUCUCUAAAGGUAUUACUGGAGCAAAACAACAGCACCUGUUACAGUGAAAUUUGUAUUCAAAAAAAUAGUGAUACAUGUGUAGCAGGUCCAGUACAUUUGUCAUAAAGGUUAAAUCACAGUAAGUACUGUAAAAAUAACUUGUUUGCCUUUGCCACAACAGGUCAUGGUGUGUACUUACUGCUCGUAAUAAACACACACGCUGAUCUGAUGCGGGAGAGAUAUAUGCAAACACAUUAGUAUUUACUG